CUAGUAAUAUAAUUCUUAUUAGGUAAUCGUUUAUAAUAAGUGAGAUGAGUAAUCUCUUUAAAAUAUUUAUUUAAUACAUAGAAUUUGUAUGCUAUUAAUCAAUAUAUAUGAAUAAAAUCCAUGGUAGAUACACUAGUAGAAUCUAAGAAACGAGAGAGAAAUGAUGGAAAGAGAAUCUUUCUAUCCCCCAAAAAAAGGACAGUUUAUUCUUUAUAGCAUGCAUUAAUAUGGCAAAGAAAAAUAUUGUUGCUUCUUGAUUUAUGCUUCUCUCUCUGCCUUCUUUUUCUUCUCAUCCACAAACUCAUCAAUGACAAGCACCCACCUAAUUGCCUGCUCUCCAUCUGUUUCACUUUCUUUCUCUGCCCCUGCAACAACUGCUCCUCAUUGUUUUUCGUGUCUUCUUCCCCUGAUCCAGAUGUUUCUUUCACUUCAACCUGGGCAUACAUCUACGGUUACUGUCAUAGGUAAGCUAGCGUUUGACGAUACAUUCCAAAUAGGCCUAAGAGUUUUGCUAAACAUAUUCAAAGCUUAAACAAAUUAAUAAAAAAAAUUAUCGAUAAAUAGUGUUUCAAAAUUUUUAAAAUUAAUCUAAAUUUAAUUGAACUAUAAUUUUAUAAAUCAAAAUUAACAUUAAAAAAAUAACUGUUAUGAAAUAGAAGAUUCUUACACUUCUAUUUAAGGUGAAUGUCUUUAAUGUAUUU
RNAcentral lists this long non-coding RNA (701 nucleotides) under Nicotiana benthamiana. Its description in RNAcentral is "long non-coding RNA (NBEN_LNC038022)". Lineage: Eukaryota; Viridiplantae; Streptophyta; Magnoliopsida; Solanales; Solanaceae. The record is from RNAcentral.